RNAcentral lists this long non-coding RNA (210 nucleotides) under Lathyrus oleraceus (garden pea). Its description in RNAcentral is "Pisum sativum (pea) long non-coding RNA (PSAT_LNC036408)". The record is from RNAcentral. Lineage: Eukaryota; Viridiplantae; Streptophyta; Magnoliopsida; Fabales; Fabaceae.
UUCAACUUGUGGAAGUAGAACCUUCAUCUGUUUCAAGCAUUAAGGGCCAGAAAGCUGCUGAAUCUGCAUCUGCUCUCCAAUUUGGUAGGUUUUCGAUUUACUUGUUUUACCAAACCAUGCCAUGCUUAGUGUAGGUCUUGAUAUGCUGAUUGCUAUGGACUUUGUCUCAUGUAAUUUGGUUGAGUAGUUUGCAAGAAAUCUGAAAUUAAA